AAGGGUUCUGUUGCCUCUCCAUUGAUCAGUACUGAAUAUCUCACUGUCUUAAUACAUUCUAUAAUCCAGUUGGUAAAUCUGCUUGGGAAGCCAAUCUUCUCCAUAAUCUGUUGUAGGAAGAUCCAUUCAACUGAAUCAUAGGCUUUUUGGAGAUGAAUCUUAAUCAUGCAUCUAGGAGUCACAUGUGCUCUGGUAUAGCUUUUGACUAACUCAUGUGCCAGGAUGACAUUAUCAGAUAUUUUUCUACCUGG
This 251-nucleotide long non-coding RNA is filed under the name Nicotiana benthamiana. RNAcentral describes it as "long non-coding RNA (NBEN_LNC036358)". The record is from RNAcentral. Lineage: Eukaryota; Viridiplantae; Streptophyta; Magnoliopsida; Solanales; Solanaceae.